This 490-nucleotide ribosomal RNA is filed under the name uncultured bacterium. RNAcentral's name for it is "partial 16S ribosomal RNA". It matches the Rfam family "Bacterial small subunit ribosomal RNA", at positions 29 to 507 of the family's 1533-position model. The record is from RNAcentral.
AUGAACGCUGGCUACAGGCUUAACACAUGCAAGUCGAGGGGAAACGACGGGGAAGCUUGCUUCCCCGGGCGUCGACCGGCGCACGGGUGAGUAACGCGUAUCCAACCUGCCUCUGACUGAGGGAUAACCCGUCGAAAGUCGGCCUAAUACCUCAUGGUAUCGUCUGCGGGCAUCCAACGACGAUUAAAGAUUUCAUCGGUCAGGGAUGGGGAUGCGUCUGAUUAGCUUGUUGGCGGGGUAACGGCCCACCAAGGCUACGAUCAGUAGGGGUUCUGAGAGGAAGGUCCCCCACAUUGGAACGGAGACACGGUCCAAACUCCUACGGGAGGCAGCAGUGAGGAAUAUUGGUCAAUGGGCGAGAGCCUGAACCAGCCAAGUAGCGUGCAGGAAGACGGCCCUAUGGGUUGUAAACUGCUUUUAUGCGGGGAUAAAGUGAGGGACGUGUCCCUCAUUGCAGGUACCGCAUGAAUAAGGACCGGCUAAUUCCGUG